GACAGGGUGGCCGAGUGGUUAUGGCGACAGGCUUAAGUUAAGGAUUGGCGUCUUUUGGACGCGGUCUGGAGUCCUGUUGUAGAGAUACAUCCUGGGUUCGAACCCCAGUCCUGUCA
This is a non-coding RNA of Paecilomyces variotii, 116 nucleotides long. NCBI's taxonomy places the organism in Eukaryota, Fungi, Ascomycota, Eurotiomycetes, Eurotiales, Thermoascaceae. The record is from the annotation of a RefSeq genome assembly.